Molecule: unclassified non-coding RNA, 242 nt
Filed under: plant metagenome
Description: partial contains small subunit ribosomal RNA, internal transcribed spacer 1, and 5.8S ribosomal RNA
Rfam family: Eukaryotic small subunit ribosomal RNA (bases 1-54)
Source: RNAcentral
AGAAGUAAAAGUCGUAACAAGGUUUCCGUAGGUGAACCUGCGGAAGGAUCAUUACAGAGUUCAUGCCCUCACGGGUAGAUCUCCCACCCUUGAAUAUUUAUACCUUAGUUGCUUUGGCAGGCCGUGGAAACACCAUGGGCUCCGGCUUAUGCGUGCCUGCCAGAGGAAACAAACUCUGUUUUUAGUGAUGUCUGAGUACUAUAUAAUAGUUAAAACUUUCAACAACGGAUCUCUUGGUUCUG